UUGCUUUCCUGGUAGGGACCCAUCGGCAGUCAGGAGGGUCUAGGUUCCAGGAUGAGGCUAUCCCAUUGCAAUUCGGAUAUGCUGACAACUGCGAUAUGCCCAAAUGCAGGAUACUCGAAUGCAGAAUUUGUUGUAGUGGGAGACUGCGCUUGUGCUCUCCCCUG
Molecule: small nuclear RNA, 164 nt
Organism: Hypanus sabinus (Atlantic stingray)
Lineage: Eukaryota; Metazoa; Chordata; Chondrichthyes; Myliobatiformes; Dasyatidae
Product: U1 spliceosomal RNA
Exons: 1
Source: RefSeq, a predicted model, not a curated record